Molecule: ribosomal RNA, 440 nt
Filed under: uncultured bacterium
Lineage: Bacteria
Description: bacterial SSU rRNA
Rfam family: Bacterial small subunit ribosomal RNA
Source: RNAcentral
CCUACGGGUGGCUGCAGUCGAGAAUCUUCGGCAAUGGGCGCAAGCCUGACCGAGCGACGCCGCGUGCGGGAUGAAGGCCUUCGGGUUGUAAACCGCUGUCGUAGGGGAGGAAGGUCUGGUGAAGAGCCAGGCUUGACCGAUCCUAGGAGGAAGGGCCGGCUAAUCUCGUGCCAGCAGCCGCGGUAAUACGAGAGGCCCAAACGUUAUUCGGAUUUACUGGGCUUAAAGAGUCCGUAGGCGGCGCAGAAAGUAGGGUGUGAAAGCCCUCGGCUCAACCGAGGAAUUGCGCCCUAAACUACUGUGCUCGAGGAACCUAGAGGUGAGCGGAACUGAUGGUGGAGCGGUGAAAUGCGUUGAUAUCAUCAGGAACACCGGAGGCGAAGGCGGCUCACUGGGGGUUUUCUGACGCUGAGGGACGAAAGCCAGGGGAGCGAACGGGA